CAUAAUUGUAAAUGAAAUGAAAUAACUACAGGCUGCUCUCUGUUUCCCACUCAGUUUUCACCAUCAAUGGGAAACACUCACUUAAGAGAAACAGGUGGCUGUCCUUAAACUCUGGAAAGCACCCCAAGGAGCAGUAUGGCCUGGCGACGCUGGUUUGGUGUCUUUCAGGAGUAUGAUGGGAACAUCACCCAGUCAGGGGAUGGCGACACCACCUGGUGAUGUGUUGGGGAGCCCCGGGGGCAGGAGAAGAACAGUGACCUCAGUAGGCACCCGGGACGCUAUCUAAGGUGCAGCAUUGGCUGGGCAUCCCCCACGUGGAACAGGCUUAUUUGGAAGACAGACUCACUCACAAAGCAAGAGAACAGGAUAAAAUGCUGGAGAAUCCCCUGCUAGAUUGGGUGAGACAGAUGGAAGAUACAACCACUUUCCAAAAACACACCUUCAAAAAUAUUUCUGGUGAUUUCUGAGUGGUAGGAAAAGAGCUAAGGAAAAAUAGUUCCACAAAAAUCCAGCUUUAUUGAUUUAAAAGUAGUGAUUGUCAAACUUAAUCGUGUGUCAGAAUCACCUGGAAGUCCUAUCAGAACGCUCCCAGAGGUUCUGAUUCUGUGGGUCGGUGGCGCCUGCGAAUGUGCAUCUCUAACAAGCUCUCAGGUGGUGCUGAUGCUGCUGGUCGGGUGACCGCACCUGAAGAACCACUGACCCAGCGUUUCACAGUCUCUCUCUGAUAGUGCUGUUAUCCGAGCUUCUUGAAGUCGAAUCCUGCUUUUUCUGGGUUUCUUUGGCAUUUUCUGACUGUUACACGUGGUAAAUAAUUUCCUUGUGUGUUUUGGAAAUUUAGAUUCUCAAAUGAUCUUCACUAGACUUUGCUUUUUGCCAUGUUUGUUCCUGGCAGUCCUGCGUGGACUGCGUCAGAGGCAUCUCUCGCCAAAAAGAUUUGAACAGUUUUCUUAAGCAAACUUUUUAUUGAAGCAUAACAUCAUGCCAAAAACCACACAUGUUAUAAGUCCUCAAGGAAGCUGUGACCUAAUAAGGGCAGUGAGGCAGAGCUCAGUGUCCCAAGAAGAGAUGACAAGGGCAAGGCUGUUGAUGCCUCAGAAAACUCCGCUGUGUGCUCCUGAGAGAAGGAGAGCAGGAAGGCAAAGAACGUUUCUGAAAGUGGACCACACUGCCAGAACCGUGGACUCGGGGCCUUCUGAAGUUGGUUAUGUACCUAACCAGAGGGUCUUAACUGAGGCAGUGGUUGACCUGUCAGCCCCAGGAAUAUGGCUUUGAUUUGCUAACAGGUCCUAAUGAAGUUAUUUAUGAAUACAUGAAUAAUCCUUUACGGUAGGAAUGUAGUUGCCACCCUAAACCUCACCUAUUGAUUUCCUGAUGUUUAGUAGAUGGUAGUCACUUAAGGAGCCUUAAUGUGGACACCAUACUCACACACACACACACACACACACACACGCACGCACGUGAGUGCACAGGUGUACAUAGGAAGAGAAGCUGAUGAAAUGUUCAAGGUGGCCAUAAUUGCAGUGUUAUGUCUUCUUUUUAGCUAUUUUUUAAACUAGAUACUGUCAGAAUUGAGUUGAAUUGUAAACAAGUGAUUCAUGCCCAUUGUAGGAAACUUAGGAAAUGCCGGUGGCCGAAGGGAAAGACUGCUUACCCUUAUUCCGCUCCCGCAGGGUUGUCUCUGACAGCAUUUUGGCUAUAGCCUUCUGUGCAGAUACGUUUGUUUUAAAACAAAAGUAGAAACACACUGCACAUAAUUUUUAGAGGCUUGCUUUUUAAUAUUUUACAAUAUUUAUAAGUAUAUAUCCCUCUAAGUAACAUAUACUUCUAUAAUAUUUUUUAAAAGGCUGCUUUCUGUACUCUGUCAUAUAAAUAUAUCCUAAUUUAUUUAACAAACCUCUGAUUGUACAUUUAGUUUGUGUUUUAUUUUGCUAUGAUUAUACAUCUUUGUACCCAUUACCAAUCUGUUUUAACAUAGCUUUUUUAAUGAAAAAUUUCAAGCAAUCGCAAAAGUAGAGAGUGAGGUGGGGAACUCCUGCUUACCCACCACCAGCCUCAGUAAUGACGAGUGUGUCAUCAUCUGUGUCCCCUCCCGCCCCUGCUGGAUUCGAUGCAAAUCUAAGCUCUCAUAUAAUUUCUUCCGUAAAUACUUCAGAAUGUGUUUCUAGAAGAUUAGGGCUCUCUCUUGUUUUAGUAACCUGACCACCAUUCCAUUAUCAAUCUAUAAAAAUUAAUAAUAAUUCUACUCAAAAGAAUUGAAAGCAGGGUCUUGAAGAGGUAUUUGUAUACUCGUGUUCACAGCAGCGUUAUUCGCAACUGCC
RNAcentral lists this long non-coding RNA (2318 nucleotides) under Equus caballus (horse). RNAcentral describes it as "lncRNA (ENSECAG00000036515.3)". The record is from RNAcentral. Lineage: Eukaryota; Metazoa; Chordata; Mammalia; Perissodactyla; Equidae.